This 499-nucleotide ribosomal RNA is filed under the name uncultured bacterium. RNAcentral's name for it is "bacterial SSU rRNA". It matches the Rfam family "Bacterial small subunit ribosomal RNA", at positions 28 to 573 of the family's 1533-position model. The record is from RNAcentral.
AACGAACGCUGGCGGCAUGCCUAACACAUGCAAGUCGAACGAGACCUUCGGGUCUAGUGGCGCACGGGUGCGUAACGCGUGGGAAUCUGCCCUUCGGUUCGGAAUAACUCAGGGAAACUUGAGCUAAUACCGGAUGAUGACUUCGGUCCAAAGAUUUAUCGCCGAGGGAUGAGCCCGCGUCGGAUUAGCUAGUUGGUGAGGUAAAGGCUCACCAAGGCGACGAUCCGUAGCUGGUCUGAGAGGAUGAUCAGCCACACUGGGACUGAGACACGGCCCAGACUCCUACGGGAGGCAGCAGUGGGGAAUAUUGGACAAUGGGCGCAAGCCUGAUCCAGCAAUGCCGCGUGAGUGAUGAAGGCCCUAGGGUUGUAAAGCUCUUUUACCCGGGAUGAUAAUGACAGUACCGGGAGAAUAAGCCCCGGCUAACUCCGUGCCAGCAGCCGCGGUAAUACGGAGGGGGCUAGCGUUGUUCGGAAUUACUGGGCGUAAAGCGCACGGU